Gossypium hirsutum (cotton) is the source of this 108-nucleotide non-coding RNA. The record is from Rfam. Lineage: Eukaryota; Viridiplantae; Streptophyta; Magnoliopsida; Malvales; Malvaceae.
AAUCCAUGAUGGGGGCACUUUCUCAGAAGAUCCAUAAAUCUCUUUAAUGCAUCAUACAAUGUCUCAAGCUCGAGUUGAGAAAAAAGAGGAGAUGUCAUUCCUUAACUU